UCACUGUGCCUCAGUUUCCUCCUCUGUCUAGUGUGGGUAAUAGUACUUGCCCCAGUAGAGUUCUAAAGAAUGUAUUUCUAACUUUCCAAUAUGCUUCAAAGUUCUUUACACUCUGGCAUAGAGUCCUUGCUGCUCUCUUGGCAGGGUUUCCUGGAAAGAAUUUACCCUCCCUUUCCUCGCCACCGCUGUUUACUUUAGAAACCAUCAGGACUCAACUCAUCAUGUCCUUUGUCCUUGUUUAUGUCAACAGAGGAUGGCUGUAAGUGUGUUUCAUUCAGCCAGGUGAUCGAGGUCAGCACCAACAGUGACAAAUCAUGUGCUAGCAUGAUGUGACAGUGGGUAUGAUCUGAUGAAGGAGGCAUUUUACCUCUAUGCCUCCUCCCUUAAACCCAUAACCUCAGUCUAAUCAUGAGAUAAAAUCAGGUACAUCCCAUCUGAGGGACGUUCUACAGAAUACUUGACUAGUACUCCUCAAAACUGUCAGGGUCAUCAAAACCAAGCAAAAGUCUGAGAAACUGUCCCAGCCAAGAGGAGCCUAAAGAGACAUGACAACUAAUGCAAUGUGGGAUCCUGGAUAGAAAAGGGAUAUUAGAGGCAGGGAAGGCAUCUUCAUACCUCUCCACCCUGUGAAAACCUGACAGCCACAGAAGUCUCAGCUCUCCAGCAAAGGCCUGGGUCAAGUUUGUUUUAACAGCCUGGAAGAGACCAGAGCAGACAGCAGGGAUACAAGCUCCCCACCCCAGUUCCUGCCAGACCACAUUCCAAGGAGACCGAUAGGCCAGCCGCAAGGAGAAAAGGAAAAAAAAUAGGAAAAAGAGAUGCAGCCAUUCACAGUUGCCUUUUGCCAUCAGCUGCCAGCAAUCACUUUUUCCCCUUUACUCCCAAAAAAACUUCCCAAACCUCUUAACCUCUCUGCUGGCACCUUUCCUUUCUUUCUCCUGUGCCAGUGCCCUUCCCACCCUUGGGAAGUAAAAUAAACUUUCUUUCUUUAAAACUA
Molecule: non-coding RNA, 997 nt
Organism: Microcebus murinus (gray mouse lemur)
Lineage: Eukaryota; Metazoa; Chordata; Mammalia; Primates; Cheirogaleidae
Source: RefSeq, a predicted model, not a curated record